GACUAUUUUUUGCUAUGGUUGACUAAAUAUGGUCAGGGAAGAGAGAGGCACAAGAGAGCCUGUUUGCCUGGGAGUGCAUGUUUCAAAUGCUUAGCUGCCUAUAAAGCUGUAACAGUUUAGCCUGUAGCCACUGAGGGAAGAAUUUAAGUUAACAUCUGUAGUGACCAUGUGGAAAUCCUGACCUUGCUUGCAGACUUGACCUCUGGAUAUGACAAGGUGAGAUUCUGUGUUCACUGAUACUUCCCUCUGACUUCACCGACUCAUGAAAAGAAGUGCUGAAUCAGCGGAUUGAGUGAAGGAACAAUCAAGAUGAGAUGGCUGCUGCUGAUGUGACUCUCUAGGUCAUUACCUUUCUUCCUGCUGCAAAUGCUGCAUGACACUAAGCUCACAGGAUCUAGAAGCACACUACAAAAUAAGAAGAAUUUCACUCUGAAGACUCUGAAGAAAUACUAGGCUGAUCUUAUAAACUUCUGAAACACACUGUGUAAAAACUCCACUGAUUCUAUAAAGCUAUUGCAAAAAGGACCAAACCAGGAUAAAGUACAACAGAUAACUGGUCAAUGUUUAGAAGUUUAUGUCCACCAACAAGGAACCAUAAAUGGCAUUAAUGCAAUGCUUCAGGUAAAUUUUUUAUGCAGUUUAGUCUUUGAUUGUCUCUACAAGUGAUCUACCAUUGUUCUACUUCGGUAAGCUGAAUGUUUUACUAACAAAUGGGAAAACAAUUCAUGUUUUUACAGCUAACAACUUUGUAAUACCUACUCAGAGUACAUACUUCUUUAUGUACCCAUAUGAACAUACAAUGCUAUGGAAUGUAAAGAAGUAUGUAUUUUUGGUAGGCAAUAAACCGCCAAGAGGAAAAUAAACUGCAGCUAAAAGAAGCCCUUGCUUCUUUCCAUGUAAAUGACCUUCAUGUGGUAUAUUAACCUAGAAUCACAGAGAUGACCUUUGGGAAUAACAACAUCAUAAAAUGUACCUACUGCUUAUAGAUGAAAACUAAAUGUCACUAAGAUUUAUAUUUUAUAAAGAAAAAAGCUCUACUGAAAUAGAUUUAAAAUUAUCAUGAAACUCCUUUCAAAUCUUUUACAUUUAAAACAUAAUACAUUUUUAAACCUAGUACUCACAUGAUUAAUAUAUUUUUUUACAUGAUUAAUAUUUGAACACCAAAAAAAAAGUAUUACUAGCACAAAAGAACGAGAUAUACACAUGACCUAUUUUCUGUUUCCACAAUUUUAUCUUAAUUUAAGUAUAUCCCAUUAAUAGGGUUGAUUGAUUUAUUAAGAAAAGAUACAACAAAAGAUGAUUUCAUUUACAUUUUAACAGCUAUUCUUCAUAGUUUUAUAAAUUUAUAAUUAAAUGAUAUUAGAGAAUUUUUUGAAGCAAGUUUUUGCUUUAGGUUUUCUUUUUUGAAAACUAUAAACAUAGUCAUAAUUUUAAAAGAUUAUGUUUUAAGUAAAAUCAUACUCUCAAAGGAAAAAAGUUGUCCUUGUCUUUCUCAAGUUUAUCAUGUCUUUCUGCUAAGUCAGUACUGAGAAUAUAUUAAAAUGUAAGAUUUAUGCAAGAAAAAUGACAAAAUUCUGGGUCACAGCUGUAAGUCAACAGAGAACAUUGGUAACAGACUGCCAAAUAUUUUAAAGAAAUUAAUUUAUUAUCUGUAUUAUCCUUGAAUUUAUUUUAUCCAAAGGAGGCACUCAAACUAAAAACACUAUAGUCAAGAAACCAAUUCAUACAAAUAGAACAACCUUCUUUUAUUUUUUUAAAAUAUAUUUUUGUAGAUUUCAGAGAGAAAGGAGAGGGAGAGAGAGAUAGAAACAUCAAUGAUGAGAGAGAAUCAUUGAUUGGCCACCUCCUGCACACCUCCCACUGGGGAUUGAGCCCACAACCUAGGCAUGUGCCCUUGACCGGGAUCGAACCUGGGACCCUUUAGUCCACAGGCCAAUACUUUAUCCACUGAGCCAAACCAGGUAGGGCAGAACAACCUUCUUUUAAUGGUACUAUGCAAUUACAAGUCUAUUUUUAUAAACAUCAAAGACCCACUAUGUACUGUAUGUUAGAGAUAUAAAAAUACUUCCAUAUUUUAUACAAAAUUUAUUUUGUAUUAUAUUUAUAUAUUGAUAAAAAGUAUAAAUAAGCUCUUAAUUAAUAAGCAGUAUCUAUUUUAGCUACUAUAGUAGACUUACAUUAAAAAUAUUAAUAUUCUAAUCAUUUCUUAUUAGAAGUAUUAUUUCAACUGGCAUAUUUAGUCAUGUACAAAAAGCAUAAUAUUUUUAAAUUUCUGUGUCACAAAUUAGUAGAAUAGCUAUAAGGUGACUAUAAUUUUCUGUUUAAUAAGACAACUAGGUAGGUAGUUUUUAAAGUUGAUUUUCACUUUAUCAGAUUAGAAAAAAAAUGAGAGAAUGAAUCUAUUAGAUAUGAUGGCAUAUAAGUUAUUGCAUGUUUACUGAAAAUUAUAAAAAGCUCAUAAUUUUAAAGUCUGUAUUUCAAAGAAAAAAUAACUCAAAGCUUAACACUUAAGCAUAAACCUUCUUUCUGAUCAUCCACAAAAAGAAUAGCAAUGCUUCAUAUUCCAUUUAACUGUGCAUGCCCUAAAAUAUACACCUCAAAAGUAGAGGUUCCUAUAUAAAACUAUUCAAAGGGUAUUACUAUACCCAUGUUUUAUAAUAACGAGUUAUAUUCAUUAUUCUAUAGGUAUAAAAACCUUUAAUUAAUUUAAAUCAUCCCAGUAUCUAAGAAUCUUAUGAUUAUAAUAUUGAGUAUAAUCCUUAGAAAAUAAAAUGACAGCAUCUGUUAUUCAUUUUAAAAAGUAAAAUUAUAUACUGAUUCUGGUGUUACAAGUUUAACUUAACAUAUCUAAGAGUAUUUUCAAUCACUCUAAAAUGUCACAUUCAUCACUUAGGUCAGCUGUUCAUUUUUAACUGAGUACAUAUUAAACUCUGGGCAUCUGCUGACACUGGUGUAACUCAAACAUUUCAACUGUCUCUCUGACAGGGAUAACAGAUGCUGACAUUAUCAAAUGCUGUACUAUUUUUUUCCCAUGGCCUCUCCUUGCCCCGAUAUGGCCAGUAUAUGAAACUGAACUGCCAUCCAAAAGCACACUUGAGCAACUGGAUCUGCUAAACAGCUCCCAUAUAACUAGUAAAAAUAGAAGCCAGUUUUACUGCUAUCUUCAGCACUUAAGUCCAGGCAAUUUAGCACCUGUUUCACUUCUAUUAGAAUAAAAUAUGGGAAAAUUGUAGUUAUAUUAAUUUCAACACAGCAUGACACUUACUAACCAACAGAUGCAGAAUAUACUUAAUAUGACAAUUAUUUGAAUAUUGCCUGAAUUACUGACCUUCUCCCAGUUUAGUUCAGAACAGUAAUUAUUUCUUUCUCUUUAUAUUUCACCUAGAGCACUUACUUUUACAGGCAAACUAUAAUUUCUCAAACUUUUAUUUUAAUCAAGUAUAUUUCAGAAGACUUCCCUUCCUGAUAUUUAAAUGCAACAUUGAAGUUACAGUAUUAACAAAAAUUGCUGGACUGAGUUUUAAUGGUAGAUUUUAAUACUCAAAUUUAUGGAUUGUAGCCAACCACCACAAUUCAAUGUAUUAUUAUUAAACUGAUAAUGAGGAGUAACUAGGCAAUCUGUACAGAGAAUUCAGUCAAGGAAAUAGACUCUUAAAAAGGUUAAAUUACUAAUCUAUGAUUUGUAAUACUACAUAAGUAAAAAACAAAGAAAAAUAAGCUGGCAUGUAUGGUUCCUCUCAACACAAAUCCAAGUAAUACACUUGAAUACACAUGCAAUCUAUUUAUAAACCAAAAGGCAGAGGUACUUUCUUAAGGUCACUCAUAUUCUUUCAACCUUGGUCAGCAACUUGCUAUUAGUCCUCUGGUAUAAUACUAAAAAAAGCAGGGUGCCUUGGCUGGUGUGGCUCAGUUGGUUGGAGCAAUGUCCCAUACACCAGCAGGUCGCAGGUUCGAUUCCCAAUCAGGGUACAUACCUAGGUUUCGGGU
Molecule: long non-coding RNA, 3987 nt
Organism: Myotis myotis
Lineage: Eukaryota; Metazoa; Chordata; Mammalia; Chiroptera; Vespertilionidae
Exons: 3
Source: RefSeq, a predicted model, not a curated record